This 629-nucleotide ribosomal RNA is filed under the name uncultured bacterium. Its description in RNAcentral is "bacterial SSU rRNA". It matches the Rfam family "Bacterial small subunit ribosomal RNA", at positions 56 to 684 of the family's 1533-position model. The record is from RNAcentral.
UGCAGUCGAACGGAACAUGUCUAGCUUGCUAGAUGAUGUCGAGUGGCGGACGGGUGAGUAAUACUUAGGAACAUGCCUUUGGGUGGGGGAUAACUAUUGGAAACGAUAGCUAAUACCGCAUGACGUCUACGGACCAAAGGGGGCUUCGGCUCCCGCCCAGAGAGUGGCCUAAGCGAGAUUAGCUAGUUGGUGUGGUAAAGGCUCACCAAGGCGACGAUCUCUAGCUGUUCUGAGAGGAAGAUCAGCCACACUGGAACUGAGACACGGUCCAGACUCCUACGGGAGGCAGCAGUGGGGAAUAUUGCACAAUGGGGGAAACCCUGAUGCAGCCAUGCCGCGUGUGUGAAGAAGGCCUUCGGGUUGUAAAGCACUUUCAGUUGUGAGGAAAGGUUAACGGUUAAUACCCGUUAGCUGUGACGUUAGCAACAGAAGAAGGACCGGCUAACUCCGUGCCAGCAGCCGCGGUAAUACGGAGGGUCCGAGCGUUAAUCGGAAUUACUGGGCGUAAAGCGCACGCAGGCGGUUUGUUAAGCUAGAUGUGAAAGCCCUGGGCUCAACCUGGGAAUUGCAUUUAGAACUGGCAGGCUAGAGUUUUGGAGAGGGGAGUGGAAUUCCAGGUGUAGCGGUGA